GAUGAACGCUGGCGGCGUGCUUAACACAUGCAAGUCGAACGGUCAAGCUCCAGCUUUCUGGCGUGGACGAGUGGCGCACGGGUGAGUAACACGUGAGCAACCUGCCCCUGACUCUGGGAUAACAGCUGGAAACGGCUGCGCUUACCGGAGAUGCACUAUUAAAGCGUGUUCUUCAGUGGUGAAGAUCUUUCGGUCGGGGAUUGGCUGGCGGCUUAUCGCCUCGUUGGCUAGUUAAUGGCUCACCAAGGCGCCGAGGGAUAGCCGACUUGAGAGGGUGACCGCCGACACUGGGCCUAAGAGACGGAGCAGACGCGAACGGGAGGCAGCGGUGGGGAAUAUGGCACAAUGGGCGAGAGCCAGAUGCAGAAGCGCCGCGUGAGGGAAGACGGCCUUCGGGUUGUAAACCACUUUUAACAGAGAAGAAGCGGGAGUGACGGUACCUGAAGAAAAAGCGCCGGCUAACUACGUG
RNAcentral lists this ribosomal RNA (469 nucleotides) under uncultured bacterium. RNAcentral's name for it is "partial 16S ribosomal RNA". It matches the Rfam family "Bacterial small subunit ribosomal RNA", at positions 28 to 507 of the family's 1533-position model. The record is from RNAcentral.